AGAGUUUGAUCCUGGCUCAGAACGAACGCUGGCGGCAGGCUUAACACAUGCAAGUCGAGCGCCCCGGGUUUAGCAAUAAGACUUGGGGAGCGGCAGACGGGUGAGUAACGCGUGGGAACAUACCCUCCGGUUCGGAAUAACUCAGGGAAACUUGAGCUAAUACCGGAUACGGCUGAGAGGCGAAAGAUUCAUCGCCGGAG
This 200-nucleotide ribosomal RNA is filed under the name uncultured bacterium. RNAcentral's name for it is "partial 16S ribosomal RNA". It matches the Rfam family "Bacterial small subunit ribosomal RNA", at positions 8 to 223 of the family's 1533-position model. The record is from RNAcentral.